GAUGAACGCUGGCGGCGUGCCUAAUACAUGCAAGUCGAGCGAACGGACGAGACUCUUUCUUCUCUUCUGUUAGCGGCGGACGGGUGAUUAAUACGUGGCUACCCUACCUAUAAGACUGAGGUCACUUCGCGAGCCCUGAUCUCACAUCCGUUCUUAUUUUGAACCUCAUGGAUCAUCAGUCCACGCCCUUCUUGCUGUCCCUUAUUGAUGUUUCCUCGCUGCAUUAGUUAGUUGGUACGGUAACGGCAUACCAAGGCGACGAUGCAUAACUGAUCUGAGAGGGUGAUCAGCCACACUGGAACUGAGACACGGUCCAGACUCCUACGGGAGGCAGCAGUAGGGAAUAUUGGGCAAUGGGCGAAAGCCUGACGGAGCAACGCCGCGUGAGUGAAGAAGGUCUUCGGAUUGUAAAACACUGUUAGUAGGGAAGAACAGAAGUAAAAGAAAAUGUGCACAUCUUGACGGUACCAAAAGAGAAAGCAACGGCUAACUACGUG
This 497-nucleotide ribosomal RNA is filed under the name uncultured bacterium. RNAcentral's name for it is "partial 16S ribosomal RNA". It matches the Rfam family "Bacterial small subunit ribosomal RNA", at positions 28 to 507 of the family's 1533-position model. The record is from RNAcentral.